This 375-nucleotide ribosomal RNA is filed under the name uncultured bacterium. Its description in RNAcentral is "bacterial SSU rRNA". It matches the Rfam family "Bacterial small subunit ribosomal RNA", at positions 29 to 409 of the family's 1533-position model. The record is from RNAcentral.
AUUGAACGCUGGCGGCAUGCCUUACACAUGCAAGUCGAACGGCAGCACGGGAGCAAUCCUGGUGGCGAGUGGCGAACGGGUGAGUAAUACAUCGGAACGUGUCCAGUAGUGGGGGAUAGCCCGGCGAAAGCCGGAUUAAUACCGCAUACGACCUACGGGUGAAAGCGGGGAUCGCAAGACCUCGCGCUAUUGGAGCGGCCGAUGGCAGAUUAGCUAGUUGGGGGGUAAAGGCCUACCAAGGCGACGAUCUGUAGCUGGUCUGAGAGGACGACCAGCCACACUGGGACUGAGACACGGCCCAGACUCCUACGGGAGCAGCAGUGGGGAAUUUGGACAAUGGGCGCAAGCCUGAUCCAGCCAUGCCGCGUGCGGGAA